This 207-nucleotide ribosomal RNA is filed under the name uncultured bacterium. RNAcentral's name for it is "partial 16S ribosomal RNA". It matches the Rfam family "Bacterial small subunit ribosomal RNA", at positions 524 to 731 of the family's 1533-position model. The record is from RNAcentral.
UACGUAGGGUGCAAGCGUUAAUCGGAAUUACUGGGCGUAAAGCGUGCGCAGGCGGUUGUGCAAGACAGAUGUGAAAUCCCCGGGCUUAACCUGGGAAUUGCAUUUGUGACUGCACGGCUAGAGUGUGUCAGAGGGGGGUAGAAUUCCACGUGUAGCAGUGAAAUGCGUAGAUAUGUGGAGGAAUACCGAUGGCGAAGGCAGCCCCUG